RNAcentral lists this transfer RNA (71 nucleotides) under Spirulina sp. RNAcentral's name for it is "tRNA-Cys". It matches the Rfam family "tRNA". From Rfam's summary of the family: Transfer RNA (tRNA) molecules are approximately 80 nucleotides in length. Their secondary structure includes four short double-helical elements and three loops (D, anti-codon, and T loops). The record is from RNAcentral. RNAcentral also lists the same sequence under 5 other names. Lineage: Bacteria; Bacillati; Cyanobacteriota; Cyanophyceae; Spirulinales; Spirulinaceae.
GGCGGCAUAGCCAAGUGGUAAGGCAGGGGUCUGCAAAAUCCUUAUCGUCGGUUCGAUUCCGACUGCCGCCU